UCUUUUCCUUUUUUGCCCGCCGCCGCGGUAAUACGUAGGUGGCAAGCGUUGUCCGGAAUUAUUGGGCGUAAAGGGCGCGCAGGCGGCGUCGUAAGUCGGUCUUAAAAGUGCGGGGCUUAACCCCGUGAGGGGACCGAAACUGCGAUGCUAGAGUAUCGGAGAGGAAAGCGGAAUUCCUAGUGUAGCGGUGAAAUGCGUAGAUAUUAGGAGGAACACCAGUGGCGAAAGCGGCUUUCUGGACGACAACUGACGCUGAGGCGCGAAAGCCAGGGGAGCAAACGGG
Molecule: ribosomal RNA, 283 nt
Filed under: Megasphaera elsdenii DSM 20460
Lineage: Bacteria; Bacillati; Bacillota; Negativicutes; Veillonellales; Veillonellaceae
Description: partial 16S ribosomal RNA
Rfam family: Bacterial small subunit ribosomal RNA
Source: RNAcentral